GAUGAAGAACGUAGCGAAAUGCGAUAAGUAAUGUGAAUUGCAGAAUUCAGUGAAUCAUCGAAUCUUUGAACGCACAUUGCGCCCGCCAGUAUUCUGGCGGGCAUGCCUGUUCGAGCGUCAUUUCAACCAUCAAGCCCCAGGCUUGUGUUGGGGACCUGCGGCUGCCGCAGGCCCUGAAAACCAGUGGCGGGCUCGCUGUCACACCGGGCGUAGUAGAUUUUAUCUCGCUCAGGGCGUGCUGCGGGUUCCGGCCGUUAAAAAGCCUUUUUUACCCAAGGUUGACCUCGGAUCAGGUAGGAAUACCCGCUGAACUUAAGCAUAUCAAUAAGCGGAGGA
This 336-nucleotide unclassified non-coding RNA is filed under the name soil metagenome. Its description in RNAcentral is "partial contains 5.8S ribosomal RNA, internal transcribed spacer 2, and large subunit ribosomal RNA". The stretch from base 1 to 120 matches the Rfam family "5.8S ribosomal RNA", at positions 35 to 154 of the family's 154-position model. The record is from RNAcentral.